AUCUGGGUGGCUCAGUGGGUUGAGCAUCUGACUUCAGCUCAGGCUCAGGUCAUGAUCUCACAGUCUGUGAGUUCGAGCCCCACCUCAGGCU
This 91-nucleotide transfer RNA is filed under the name Felis catus (domestic cat). It matches the Rfam family "tRNA". From Rfam's summary of the family: Transfer RNA (tRNA) molecules are approximately 80 nucleotides in length. RNAcentral also lists the same sequence under 1 other name. The record is from Rfam by way of RNAcentral. Lineage: Eukaryota; Metazoa; Chordata; Mammalia; Carnivora; Felidae.